Molecule: unclassified non-coding RNA, 344 nt
Filed under: Basidiomycota sp.
Lineage: Eukaryota; Fungi; Basidiomycota
Description: partial contains small subunit ribosomal RNA, internal transcribed spacer 1, and 5.8S ribosomal RNA
Rfam family: Eukaryotic small subunit ribosomal RNA (bases 1-47)
Source: RNAcentral
AAAGUCGUAACAAGGUUUCCGUAGGUGAACCUGCGGAAGGAUCAUUAUUGAAUAAACCUGAUGGGUUGUUGCUGGCUUCUAGGAGCAUGUGCACGCUUGUCAUCUUUAUCCAUCCACCUGUGCACCUUUUGUAGUCUUGGAGUAAUGAGUGUAAAACAUAUCGAGGAACAACUUUGGUCCUCGGACAGAGGCCUGCCAUGCGAUAGUGUGGCUGACCUUAUUAUUUGCACAAGUUCUCUGAGUCUAUGUUUUUCAUAUACCACACAAAAUGUAAUAGAAUGUUUAUUGGGCCCUAGUGCCUAUAAAAUGAAAUACAACUUUCAGCAACGGAUCUCUUGGCUCUC